ACCUUUUGGUGGGGAAUAACCCUGGGAAACCGGGGCCAAUACCGCAUAAGCUCGAAAGAGGAAAGGAGCAAUUCGCCGAAAGAGGAGCCCGCGGCUGAUUAGCUAGUUGGUGAGGUAAAGGCUCACCAAGGCUAUGAUCGGUAGCCGGCCUGAGAGGGCACACGGCCACACUGGCACUGAAACACGGGCCAGACUCCUACGGGAGGCAGCAGUGGGGAAUCUUGCACAAUGGGGGAAACCCUGAUGCAGCGACGCCGCGUGAGUGAUGAAGCCCUUCGGGGUGUAAAGCUCUUUCGGCAGGGACGAUAAUGACGGUACCUGAAGAAGAAGCUGCGGCUAACUACGUGCCAGCAGCCGCGGUAAUACGUAGGCAGCGAGCGUUGUUCGGAGUUACUGGGCGUAAAGAGUGCGUAGGCGGUUUUCUAAGUUUGGUGGGAAAUCUCCCGGCUUAACUGGGAGGGUGCGCCGAAGACUGGAAGGCUUGAGUAUGGGAGAGGUAAGCGGAAUUCCUGGUGUAGCGGUGAAA
Molecule: ribosomal RNA, 526 nt
Filed under: uncultured bacterium
Lineage: Bacteria
Description: bacterial SSU rRNA
Rfam family: Bacterial small subunit ribosomal RNA
Source: RNAcentral